This 154-nucleotide non-coding RNA is filed under the name Callithrix jacchus (white-tufted-ear marmoset). Lineage: Eukaryota; Metazoa; Chordata; Mammalia; Primates; Cebidae. The record is from Rfam by way of RNAcentral.
GCCAGGCAUGGUGGUGCAUGCCUGUAAUCCCAGCUACUCGGGAGGCUGAGGCAGGAGAAUUGCUUGAACCCGGGAGGCGGAGGCUGCAGUGAACAAAGAUCACACCACUACAAUUGCACUCCAGCCUGGGUGACAAAGCAAGUCUCUGUCUCAA